This 427-nucleotide ribosomal RNA is filed under the name uncultured bacterium. Its description in RNAcentral is "bacterial SSU rRNA". It matches the Rfam family "Bacterial small subunit ribosomal RNA", at positions 355 to 794 of the family's 1533-position model. The record is from RNAcentral.
UGGGGAAUAUUGGGGCAAUGGGGCGAAAGCCUGACCCAGCAACGCCGCGUGAGGGAAGAAGGGUUUCGGCUCGUAAACCUCUGUCCUAUGGGACGAAGGAAGUGACGGUACCAUAGGAGGAAGCCCCGGCUAACUACGUGCCAGCAGCCGCGGUAAUACGUAGGGGGCGAGCGUUGUCCGGAAUGAUUGGGCGUAAAGGGCGCGUAGGCGGCCAACUAAGUCUGGAGUGAAAGUCCUGCUUUUAAGGUGGGAAUUGCUUUGGAAACUGGAUGGCUUGAGUGCAGGAGAGGUAAGCGGAAUUCCCGGUGUAGCGGUGAAAUGCGUAGAGAUCGGGAGGAACACCAGUGGCGAAGGCGGCUUACUGGACUGUAACUGACGCUGAGGCGCGAAAGUGUGGGGAGCAAACAGGAUUAGAUACCCUGGUAGU